This 494-nucleotide ribosomal RNA is filed under the name uncultured bacterium. RNAcentral describes it as "bacterial SSU rRNA". It matches the Rfam family "Bacterial small subunit ribosomal RNA", at positions 29 to 513 of the family's 1533-position model. The record is from RNAcentral.
AACAAACGCUGGCGGCGUGUCUUAAGCAUGCAAGUUGAGCGGCAAGGAGGAGAGAUCCUCCCUAGAGCGGCGGACUGGUGAGUAACGCGUGGGUAAUCUAUCGUAGGCAUGGGGAUAGUCACUAGAAAUAGUGGGUAAUACCGAAUACGUUCCAUGAGGGGAGUAUUCAUGGAAGAAAGGGUGCUACGGCACUGGCCUUAGGUGAGCUCGCGUCCCAUUAGCUAGUUGGUGAGGUAAAGGCCCACCAAGGCGAUGAUGGGUAGCCGGCCUGAGAGGGUGUACGGCCACACUGGGACUGAGAUACGGCCCAGACUCCUACGGGAGGCAGCAGCUAAGAUAUUCCGCAAUGGACGAAAGUCUGACGGAGCGACGCCGCGUGGAUGAAGAAGGCCGAAAGGUUGUAAAGUUCUUUUGCUAGGGGAAAUAAGUGAGGGAGGGAAUGCCCUCAUGAUGACAAGGACUAGCGAAUAAGCCCCGGCAACUACGUGCCAGCA